GACGUAGGAUGCGAGCGUUGUUCGGAUUUAUUGGGCGUAAAGCGUACGUAGGCGGUUUCUUAAGUCUGGUGUUAAAGCUAGGGGCUCAACCCCUGUGAUGCACUGGAAACUGGGGGACUUGAGAACGGUAGGGGAAGGUGGAACUCCGAGUGUAGCGGUGAAAUGCGCAGAUAUCAGGAGGAACACCGGUGGCGAAGGCGGGUCUCUGGGCCGAUACUGACGCUGAGGAGCGAAAGCGUGGGGAGCGAACAGG
RNAcentral lists this ribosomal RNA (253 nucleotides) under uncultured bacterium. RNAcentral describes it as "partial 16S ribosomal RNA". It matches the Rfam family "Bacterial small subunit ribosomal RNA", at positions 524 to 776 of the family's 1533-position model. The record is from RNAcentral.